GUGGGCUUAUUCCUGGGCAUCUCAACGAACCCAGACGCGAAAAGCGUCAAGGAACAUAUACUACAUUUGAGCUCCCUCCUGCAUCCCGGUUAGCCGGUGUGUGGGCGCGGUGCCAUGUCAUAACAUUAAACGACUCUCGGCAACGGAUAUCUCGGCUCUCGCAUCGAUGAAGAACGUAGCGAAAUGCGAUACUUGGUGUGAAUUGCAGAAUCCCGUGAACCAUCGAGUCUUUGAACGCAAGUUGCGCCCGAGGCCUUUGGUCGAGGGCACGUCUGCCUGGGCGUCACGCAUCGCAACCCCCCAAACCCACUCUGGGCGAUAUGGGGAGGAGGAUGGCUUCCCGUGCCUCACCGGGCGCGGUUGGCCUAAAAUUGGAGCCUAAGGCAUCGAGCUGCCGCGGCGAUAGGUGGUGAACAAGGCCUUGGCCGUGCAAACAACCAGCCGCGCAGCCCUUUGACAGUACGAGCUCGAAGGACCCUUUGAUGUUGCCUUGUUGCGACACAAACGUUGCGACCCCAGGU
Molecule: ribosomal RNA, 521 nt
Filed under: Stellaria media
Lineage: Eukaryota; Viridiplantae; Streptophyta; Magnoliopsida; Caryophyllales; Caryophyllaceae
Description: eukaryotic LSU rRNA
Rfam family: 5.8S ribosomal RNA (bases 132-286)
Source: RNAcentral